This is a long non-coding RNA of Gorilla gorilla gorilla (western lowland gorilla), 2221 nucleotides long. RefSeq lists it as uncharacterized. The transcript is spliced from 5 exons. NCBI's taxonomy places the organism in Eukaryota, Metazoa, Chordata, Mammalia, Primates, Hominidae. The record is from RefSeq and is a predicted model, not a curated record.
AGUCAGAAGGCUUCUUUGUAUUUCCUCAUGAUUGUAGCUGUGCUCCCUCUCCGUGAUCUGAAGGUCUCCAGGCCUGUGAUGUGAGGGGCUGCUGUGAAGCUUUCUGACAUGCCCUGGAGACAUUUUCCCCAUUGUCUUGGCAGAGCCCAGAAAACACAUGCGUUUUGAAGAGAGGAGGAAGAGAAAUGAUCAGACUUAUGGUGUGUUGCUGCCACAGAGCAUAAAACUGGGGAAGCCCUGGGAACCACAGAAGAUGGAAGGAGGAAGAGAGGAAUGGUGGAAAGACUCUACCAGCUUCCCAGCCCAAGUCUGAUUUGUAUUUAUGGAGUUUUGAGGUAUGGAAUGCAGAAGACAAGUAAAAUUACACAAGAUUAAAAGCAUUGAAAAUCAUCCUGAAACCUGCAAAUGACAUUUCCUGUUACCCACAAAAAAUUAUCAGGUGUGUGUGAUGGUUAAUACUGUGUGUCAACUUGAUUGGAUUGAAGGUUACACAGUACUGAUCCUGGGCGUGUCUGUGGGGGUGUUGCCAAAAGAGAUUAACAUUUGACUCAGUGGGCUGGGAAAGGCCGAUCCACCCUUAAUCUGGAUGGGCACAGUCUAAUCAGUUGCCAGCUUGGCUAGAAUAUAAACAGGAAGAAAAAUGUGAAAACAGAGACUGGCCUAGCCUCCAAGCCCACAUCUUUAUCCCGUGCUGGAUCCUUCCUGCCCUCGAACAUCGGAAUCCAUGUUCUUCAGUUUUGGAAAUAGAACUGACUCUCCUUGUUCCUCAGCCUGCAGAUGGCUUAUUGUGGGACCUCGUGAUCAUGUGAGUCAAUACUUAAUUUUAUAUAUAUAUAUCCCAUUAGUUCUGUCUCUCUAGAGAACCCUGACUAACACAGGGUGUCAGGCAUGAAUCUUUCAACUGGUGAGAAAAAGAUGUCACUUAUUUUCCCUACAUAACCACCAUGGUAUCUUAUGCAUAAUUCACAUUUUUAUCACUUAAAUAUGCUCAAAUAGGUUUGUGGAAAACUAUAAACCUACAAAACUAUAAAGUAUGAACUAUAAGUUUAUCAUAAAUUAUUUCAAUCUCAUGCUUCUAGUUUUCAUUUGCCCCUUUAUCUAAAUUUUGCCCAUGAAAAAUGUUAUUUGGAAAUUAUUAUACUUAAGCCUGUAGAUCCGCCAAUGUAUGGCAAAGCUACUUGAAAUCUAAAUCAACAUUGUAUAUAAAUUUUGUAAUAUAGUAAGGAAAUAAAGAAUUAAAAUUUUUCACUGAAAUGAUGCGCAGUGUGGAAAUAAUAUUGAUACUCAGCACAAAUUCAAUUAUAGAUUUUUAGGUUAAACUUGACUAUCUGUCUCUGAAAAGUCAGACUUUGAUGGAUGAGUUUAUGGAGAAAGUAAUAAUUUCUGGAGGAAGAGGUAACAUCCUCGAGUGAGCAGAAUCUGCCAAGUUAACCAUGAAAAUCAAUAAUAAGCGAAUACUGCAACCAGAAGACAACCUGGUAGUUUAUUUAAAUAUAAUCUCUAGUUAUGACAUAACCCCCAGGAGGUUUCUGACAAGAAAGAGAUUCAUGUUAUGUAGUCAUUCACAUAUAUAGAAUAUUAAAAAAUCAUACUCAACUUUAUUUCUAACCUUUUCCCAAUGACUCACCAUUAAUUGAGAACCCGCUUCAGAUAAUCACCUAGCAGUUUACCGAGGGUCUGGUUUUUCAUCUGUGCUUUCCACUCUCAGCCCAGUUCUCUUGAUCACUUCUCUCCAUCCCACUCCUUCCCAGGAUCCUGGCUUUACCUUCAUAGAAGAGCAUCUAUAAGACAGGCCUUUCCUUUGCCAAUUAGUUACACUUUUCAUACAUAGAAUUAUGCCAAAAAUCUCUGUCUCUUGACUUUUUAAAUGAAAUACUCCCACUCUCACUCCAACUGGAAAGCAAAAGAGAAAACCCUACCCUUUUGCAUAAGCUGAAAAAUCCGUCUUCUAGGGGCCUAAAGAUGAACAGCAUAUCAAGAUGAAUCUGUUGCUACUCAACUGAUGGAUAUUAGUAUUAUCAUUAAGCUGUAGCAAGACCCAGUUUCUCAAUGUUUGGAGGAAGAUGUUUUCUGUCUUCUGUAUUAUUUUCCAACAAUUUCAAAUAAGAAAAAAAGAAGAAGCAGAGUUGCUUAGCAUUAGUAAUCCAAAGGUCUUUCUUUCUUUUUUUUCUGGGACUGAUUAGGAGUGAGUCAAGUGGACAUCCAAAGACCACUGAAUUAC